RNAcentral lists this ribosomal RNA (465 nucleotides) under uncultured bacterium. RNAcentral describes it as "partial 16S ribosomal RNA". It matches the Rfam family "Bacterial small subunit ribosomal RNA", at positions 338 to 795 of the family's 1533-position model. The record is from RNAcentral.
CCUACGGGUGGCUGCAGUAGGGAAUCUUCCACAAUGGACGACAGUCUGAUGGAGCAACGCCGCGUGAGUGAAGACGGGUUUCGGCUUGUAAAGCUCUGUUGGUCGUGAAGCAAGAUACAGGUAGUAACUGGGCCUUCUUUGACGGUAAUUCCUUAGAAAGUCACGGCUAACUACGUGCGCGCAGCCACGGUAAUACGGAGGUGGGAAGAGUUGACCGGUUUUAUUGGGCGUAAAGCGAGUGCAGGCGGUUCAAUAAGGCCGAUGUGAAAGUCUUCGGCGCAACCGGAGAAUUGCAGCAGAAACUGGUGAACUUGAGUGCAGAAGAGGAGAGUGGAACGCCAGGUGUAGCGGUGGAAUGCGUAGAGAUAUGGAAGAACACCAGUGGCGAAGGCGGCUCUCUGGUCUGCAACUGACGCUGAGGCUCGAAAGCAUGGGGAGCGAACAGGAUUAGAUACCCUAGUAGUC